RNAcentral lists this non-coding RNA (178 nucleotides) under Halobacillus dabanensis. The record is from RNAcentral. Lineage: Bacteria; Bacillati; Bacillota; Bacilli; Caryophanales; Bacillaceae.
AACGGCGCGUUGUAGCCGCUAUUCAUAGGCAAUGGUGUCCAGGAUGACUCAGCCCUGAGGAAUACGAAUCUCAUAGAAGGCUUUCAGUCUGGGAUGAAACUGUAAAACAAGACAGAGUCACAACGACCAAAGGGAUAGGCAGUAAAUGGGACAAAGAUAUGGAAAGGAAGUUGAUCCU